RNA transcript from Scylla paramamosain (green mud crab), 6618 nucleotides. It is a transcript of the gene named rho GTPase-activating protein 21-A-like, with no coding region annotated. NCBI's taxonomy places the organism in Eukaryota, Metazoa, Arthropoda, Malacostraca, Decapoda, Portunidae. The transcript has 19 exons. The record is from RefSeq and is a predicted model, not a curated record.
UGCGGGCCUCGUGGUGAAGGGGCCGCAGGAGGAAGGGGAGAGAAGACAGGAGAGCAGAGAGAGAGGAGAGGCAGGGGAGGCAGAGACACCGCACCCAUGUUUGGAGACUUGUUCAUCCACCGGGGUAUUUUGUGCAGCCAGGAAGUCCCUCCGUGAAGCCUUGGACCGUUCACUCACUUUGUUCAUUAAGACAAUACCGGACCAGUUGUCUUUUCAUCUCCCAAAUGCGCAAUGUAACUGUGAUCUUGGGCAGCGCUUUCUUCCGAUCCCGUGUGUUGUCUAAGAAUGAGGAAAAAGGAAUAGGGAGAGGCGCUUUAAGUUAGUACCUGUAUCGCGGCCCUGAUAUUGACGUUCGUGUGUUCGUGUGUCGUGUCUAGUGUCUGCGCCUGUGUGCUGUGCCGGCGUGAGGGAGGAGGUCACGGUGCUGGCGUGUCAAGAUGCUAAGUGUGUCGCUUUCAGGGAAGUGAAGGAGAGACUAAGAUAAGAAAAAGUGUUGUGCUGAGGGUUCCCGUUAAAAAGAUGGGCGUGUGAUGCGUGGGGGAGGAGAUGAGAUGAUUCACCUCCACCCACGUCCUCCCAUCCACGCCUCCUCCAGGAUCUUGGUCCUUAAAGAGACUGAAGUGUGUGCGCCGAGGCGGUGGUGUGGCGAGCGGCGAUGCGGCACUGUUGGUGAGGCCGUGUUGUGAGGCCCUUUGGUGAGGCAAGGCGAGGGGUGACUCUCCCCCGCCGCCUGCCGCCCCCCGCCUUCAUCAUGUUGUCACUCAUUAACGCGUCCCUGGACGGAGAGUUAGCGAAGCCUAGUGAGUCAGCCGCCCCCAGCGAGAACACCACCACCAUCACCACCACCCCACCUCCCUUCCCCACCCCCGCGGUCUCCUCCCCUACCGGUGGGGCUCCCCGCCUUAAACGCCCCACCUUCCUACCAAUCAAGAACCAUGCCCGCCCUGCUCUCACUUCCUAUGACAAGCAAUCUCCCGUCGGAUCUGGCAAGGGAUUGGAGGAGAGAUCGCAUGUGUCCCUCCCCCUUGGUAGGAGCGCCACUCAGAGAACACCCUCAUGCUCGUCCCUCGGCAGCCUACCCAAUAGCAUGUACCAGCUACCUGCAGUGACGACGCCUACGGUGCCGACUUCAAGUGCCGGCACCGUGGCUGGCGUCACUGUGGUGACGUCGGCAAUCACUUCCACUGGCGCCACCACCACCACCACCUCCGCCGUCACCACCACCACACCGCGGGGUCCCACAGCUGCUAGUGAUGUCCUGGUCUCCCGCAGGAACAAGGCUCUCUAUGGGGAGGAGGGCGAGCGGCUGGUGCGGCGAGUGUCGUACCUCAAGGCGACGUCCGGGGACCGCAUGUACUCCGACUCCGACCUUGACUCCGACACCGACGACAGGAGCGGUGGGCGUGUAGGCGUGGUGGGCGUGCCAGUGGAGGGUGACGUGGACAGCGCCCCGCCCAACACGCCUGCGGACCGCCUGUGUUUGGACCACCCGCCCUCGCCCGAGUGCUUCCUCUCCUCCGUGGACCGACAGGGCACACUGCACGUCAAAGUGACCAUGGUGGACGGCAAGAGGGCCGGCGACCGCUCCUGGAAGACUCUGUGGGUGGCGAUACAAGGGCGCGCCAUCAUCUUCUACAAGGACAGACAACACGCCAUGCAGACACCCUUGGGAGUUGAGGAACAGAUAUCCCUCCGUGGUGCCCAUGUGGAGGUCGCCACUGACUACACCAAACGGCGAAAUGUCUUGCGUCUUGCAACCCCGGGGGGCUCCCAGCUCCUCCUGCAGGCAGACACCUCCCCAGAGAUGCUGGCAUGGCUCUCCACCCUCCACAACAACUGUGCCAUACAGGAAGGUGAAGGUGAAAGCAAGGCCCCCAUGAACAACAACAUCUCACCCCAGACUGGCAACAAGGCGAUGAGGAAGCUGACAUCUCUGAGGACGCGGUCACCCACUGGUCAGUCUCCAUCCAUCAAGACACGCAAGCCUGGUGGUGUAGAGAGCAAUACUUCACCCAAAUCAAAAAAUUGGAGAGGUCAUCUCAAAAGACCUUUCAUGAAGAAAGUACAAAGUGGUUCUCCAGCAGCCACUCCCACCCUCCCAGAAGGAGCCACCAUUGGGGUCUGUUUGGAGGACUGCCCACAGUCACUUGAGAAUGAGUUUGUUCCCCUGCUGGUGGCUCUGUGUGUGGGUGUGGUGGAGAGCCGAGGGCUGCAGACACAGGGAAUCUAUCGUAUCCCCGGCAACAAGGCAUCAGUCACGUACUUAACUGAGAUGAUCAAUAAAGAUGCGAAAUCAAUUGAUUAUGAUGAUGCAAGGUGGUGUGACGUCAAUGUUAUAUCCAGCAUGCUGAAGCAGUUCUUCCAGAAAUUGCCUGAUCCUCUGUUUACUAGUGAGCUCUACCCACACUUCAUUGAGGCGAGUAAAGUAGAGGAUCCAAAGCAGAGGAUGCUGGAAUUGAAAAAAUUGAUUCAUGAAUUACCAGACCACCAUUACGAGACACUUCGGUUCCUCUUAGUGCAUUUGAACAACAUCGUUACCAACUCUGAUUUCAACAAGAUGGACGUGCGCAAUCUAGCCAUAGUCUUUGGCCCAACCUUGGUUCGCUCUGGCGAUGACAACAUGGUCACGAUGGUCACAGACAUGUCCCACCAGUGUCGCAUUGUGGAGACUCUUAUCAGCCAUUCUGCGUGGUUCUUCUCGGAGGAUGAGGGAGAACAGUUUUCACCACCUGUUGUUGAACCUCCACUGACUCCAAGUCCUGCUGCUGAUGGCCUCCCACUGCCUACUGAGAUGGACACGCCCUCCAGUCACUCGCUCCUGCUUGACAACAUCCAGAAAGUUGAAGGCAACAUUAAGGGUGAUAUGAAGAAGGACAUUGUUUCUUCUAUCAUAUCAGCAGCUAACAGAAAGGUUCACAAAGCCAAGCACAAGAAGCCCAUGGAGGACAAGCCCGUGGAUGAAUCCAAGUUCAGUGACCGAGAUGGAGGGUUUGAGGAGCGGGACAUUGACAAAGAGGCUGAGCUCAGGAAACAGCGGCUGAUAGCCAAACAGAUGGAAAGUAUGGUGGAACUCCCUGACCCCAAGCCGAUGAGUGAACGCAAGAUUUCAAACAUGAGUCUUAUGAGUGUUCAGAGUCAUAUGUCUGGUGAAUCUAAUGAGUCACACGGUGAAAGGACUAGUGGCGGUAGUUACAAGUUAGGGCUGCCUGGAGAUGAUCCCAGAUUAUAUUCCGUCGCAAAAAAGGAUGAACUCGUGUCCUCUCCUAUUCCAUUGACAUUGCUUUCCAAUUCUUCCUCCAUGGCUGCUAGUGCCCCCAGCCAACAGUCUAGUCAGUUUACUCCCGAAACCUCUUCACUCUUUGGAGAUGAAGUAGCCAUUCGUUCCUACGCUGGCCUCAGUGCGAGUACGCAGGAGCGAAUACGGAAAUUUGAAAUGGAGACUCGCGCAAUGCUCCACCGUGACCUGACCAGACACCGGCGGGAGACUGAGAGAAGAGAUGCAGAGCGGCAGAGGAUAGAGGAGGAGCUGCAGCGUGCCAAGCAGGACAUGGAAUCAGAGGACCUUUUGGACCAGCUUGCUGACAAUCCCUCAGAGGUUGUCCGCAAGAUCUCUGACUACUCAUGGCGACUCCAAGACUUGAGUGAGAAUGUGGGUGGCCAGCGAGGGUCACUUGUCUCCCAGGGCUCCACCACUAGCUCCCAGGCUGCCCUCAUCUCUGCAGCCCUCUCUCACCAUCCCCUCUCUAACACCUCAUUUACACCCACCACUAAUGCCACCACCCAGGUACCUAACAAUCACUUACAUCCACCUACUAUUAAGAUUGUCAAUGAGCCUGUGGUUGGGAAGGCUACUGAUUCGAAUGAGUACAGGCAUGGCAUGUUGCAGCAGAACUCACUUGCUUGGCUUGACUACAAUACAGCUUCACCACAUAGCACUCUUGGGUCUACCUCUUCAUCCAGUAGCUCAGGUUAUGGCAGCUUAACCCGGCCAUCACACACAACUAACCGAGGUGAGACCGAGGACACUUCUGCAAGAUCUGUUGAUGAAGCCUUCUCCUUGGAGCCCUCUGUUGCUCUUCCCAAAUCUGGCUCUACUUCUCAACACUCUUCCCCCUCCAACACUAAAAAGAAAAAGUCAAGUAAAGGCCCUGGUUUCUUCUUCAAUUUAACCUCUUCAUCUUCAUCACCCUCCCUCUUUCCCUCCAUGUCUGACGCUGCCACUGAACUAACGCCAACGCGCAAAAUUGGCCAAACCACUAUUUAUCCCGAGAGUCCCCGUCCACCCCCUCACAAGUCUCACACACCCUCACCGUCCCACCUUACAGUUCCUGCAUCAACACUAACUCCUCAACCUAACACUCCUGUCCAAGGCCGACACAAAGACUCAAUCCUCCACCACAUCCUACCCAGCCGCCUAUACCACUCCCCUCGUCCCCUGCGUCGAGGGUCCUCUGCUGAGAACGUGACUCAGCCGCUCAUCAACCCUACCUCCCCUUCCACCUUUGACACCCAGAAGGUCGUGAAUAAUGGCACUCUGAAGAGGGCCAGAACCAGCAGGGAACAGAUUUUAAAUGGUCCCGAACAAAUGCCAAGAUGUGGCUCGUUAGAUUCUCUCCGUGACGGCCCUCAUGUUCCCCACGAUGAUGCCCCAUGCGAACUUUCAACUGUAGUGGUAGAAAAGCCACCACAUGUUGCCAAGUCCUCGAUUAUGGGGGCAGCCAAGGGUCUCUUCGCUAAUAUUCAGUAUGCUAAAGUGUAGGCGAGGAAGGCAGUGAUCUGUUGAGUGCCAUCACUGCCACCUUCGAAGAGAAAAUGCGUAGCCUCCAGGAGUCUCCCUUGGGUCUUGUCAAUUCAGAUAGCAGCGAUUCCAACAGCAGUCAAGAUUCCUCACCCGAAGACGUGCGUCAGCUUCCAGAGCAGCCAGGCAGAGGGAACUCCGGGUGCCGCCUGUACCGCGACCCUUCCCUCCAUCGCCGCCGCACCAGCCCCCGCACCUCAGUCACCACCCCUGCUGCCUCCACCGCCUCAUCUCACAUCUCCCAAGUAGAAGAUAGCAUUCAAUCAAGUAGCAUAAAGGAGAGUGACUAUAAGGUACUGACUGAAGAUAAGAAACCUGGAGUGAAAGUAAAGAGAACAGAUUCCUUGACAAAGUCAGAAAAGACUGAAAAUAAUUUGAAAGAAAAAACUGAGAAAAGAUCUCGAGAACUUAAGCGAACAGAUACUCAGGAAAGUCUUAAUGAAAAGAGACCAAAAGAAAUGAAACGAUCAGACCUUCUGGAGGGGAGAGACAGGCUUCAGGAGGCAUCUAAGAAGUCAGAUGCAAAAGAAAAUGCAUCAGGACCCACAAGGCGUUCCUCAGACCUCAGAAGUCGACGCCACAAUGUGAAGGAACUGAAAGAAAAAUUUGAGCAGAACACUGGCAGUCAGACAAACACCAGUCCCAUGAAGCCUUCCAAUAAUCUUUACAGCAAUAGCAGCAGCAGCAGCAGCAACAAAGGGAGCAAGUCAGGCAUGAAACGCACUAACUACCGUGGCCCCAUCAAGCGGCGGCACACUGUGGGGGGCACCAAGGACCUCGCCAAGUGGGCGUGGAUACACAGUGUGGAGAUGUCCAAGAAUGCACUCCGGGCCACCCGACCCACUGCCUGGGAGCGACUGCAGCCUCUGGUGGUGGAUGAGCGACUCAACACGGACAGGUCUCUCGAGGCCUGGCUGACCCACGAGCGUAUCAGGACGUCCUCGCCAGACCUGUCCAGACCACAACAGUUGGUGUUGCCGUGUAUCAUUGGGGACAAGGAGAACCUCCACCGACGCCUCAGUGUACAGGAAGCAGCAUUGAAUCCUCUCUACCCUGUACUGGAGAGUCAUGUUUAAUGGUGUUUGAAGCCAGUGCAUUUCCUUUUCUUUGGCUCAACUUGACCCACUGCACGAGUGACUCACUCAGACUGCUUACGUGUACAAUGAUGAGUGUUGGAAUGAUGAGAGGGGUAAUGAACAGUGCUGUGAUUAUUUGUAUUAGAUAUUGUUUUAAAAAGCAUAUCACUGUAAAUAUAAAUACAUAUAUAUAUAAAUAUAUUGAAAUAUCAUGAGCACAUUAUGUACAGGAUAAACAUUUUUAACUCACCCUGUAAAUAGAAAUUUUAUAGGUUAUACAUAUGUCAUUGCAUUUCAUUUGUAUAAUAUUCAAAUAUGAAUAUAUUGCAUAACUGUAACAGUUUUUUUUAGCUUGGGGGUUAUGCCAUGCCAGUCUUGCAAAGCAAGAAUUACAUGUUGCAUGGUUAGGGAAAUGAAACAUGUAUGAUGUGAACACUUGCAGCAAACGUUUCUUGAAGAGGCAGUAAAGUGAGCAAGGCAUUUCAAGAUGAGUGAGCUGUUUGUGAAAAUGUUGCAUGUUUGACUCUGAAAAUGAAGAGAUACACUUUCAUCCAAUGUUAUAUAGGAUAAUUGGAAUAGAUUGAGACAACUUAAUAGUUUGAGUCAAAAAAGAAUAAUUUCUAAUAACACAGGUAGGUUGCCAGCUACAGUACAUUAAAGCUAAGACCAUAAGAAUAGAUUACAAUUGUUUAAUAUUGAAGCCUUUUAACAUUUAUUUCAGCUGAAUAAAUAAUGUUCAUGGUU